RNAcentral lists this ribosomal RNA (686 nucleotides) under Faecalibacterium prausnitzii. RNAcentral describes it as "bacterial SSU rRNA". It matches the Rfam family "Bacterial small subunit ribosomal RNA", at positions 440 to 1152 of the family's 1533-position model. The record is from RNAcentral. Lineage: Bacteria; Bacillati; Bacillota; Clostridia; Eubacteriales; Oscillospiraceae.
UGAGGAAGAUAAUGACGGUACUCAACAAGGAAGUGACGGCUAACUACGUGCCAGCAGCCGCGGUAAAACGUAGGUCACAAGCGUUGUCCGGAAUUACUGGGUGUAAAGGGAGCGCAGGCGGGAARACAAGUUGGAAGUGAAAUCCAUGGGCUCAACCCAUGAACUGCUUUCAAAACUGUUUUUCUUGAGUAGUGCAGAGGUAGGCGGAAUUCCCGGUGUAGCGGUGGAAUGCGUAGAUAUCGGGAGGAACACCAGUGGCGAAGGCGGCCUACUGGGCACCAACUGACGCUGAGGCUCGAAAGUGUGGGUAGCAAACAGGAUUAGAUACCCUGGUAGUCCACACCGUAAACGAUGAUUACUAGGUGUUGGAGGAUUGACCCCUUCAGUGCCGCAGUUAACACAAUAAGUAAUCCACCUGGGGAGUACGACCGCAAGGUUGAAACUCAAAGGAAUUGACGGGGGCCCGCACAAGCAGUGGAGUAUGUGGUUUAAUUCGACGCAACGCGAAGAACCUUACCAAGUCUUGACAUCCCUUGACGAUGCUGGAAACAGUAUUUCUCUUCGGAGCAAGGAGACAGGUGGUGCAUGGUUGUCGUCAGCUCGUGUCGUGAGAUGUUGGGUUAAGUCCCGCAACGAGCGCAACCCUUAUGGUCAGUUACUACGCAAGAGGACUCUGGCCGGACUGC